This 1665-nucleotide long non-coding RNA is filed under the name Hordeum vulgare. Its description in RNAcentral is "long non-coding RNA (HVUL_LNC002628)". Lineage: Eukaryota; Viridiplantae; Streptophyta; Magnoliopsida; Poales; Poaceae. The record is from RNAcentral.
UUUGUACACGGUACCAGAGGCACCGCUGCCAAGCACCUCACGGAAACCACUAGUUGCCUUCUCCAGAUCAUUGUAAGUGAAAAUCUUUGGGGGCAAGAUAGAACUACCUGACGGUUGCGGUGACUGGAGUUUCUUCUUGGAGGUUAUGGAGAUACCGCAGUAAGUGCCGAAGAGCAGAAUACUGAUCAGGAGAAUGUUUACCAAUACAGAACCCCCAAAAAACAAGGAACUCCCAAGAAUCCAAUACUUCUUGUCCUUCUUCCAUUUGCUAGAGCCAGUGUUCUGGGACUGUGAAUUGUUGCNGGUAGCCAUUAUUCUUCAAACUAUUAUCGAAUUUUGAAGAAGAUAACAUACAGAUGCAUCAAUGAUGCUAUUUGUUCAGCUAAACAUGAGUGCCUGAAAUGCUAUAUUUACCAUUAAUUCUGAAGCAUCAAUAGAAUACAGUAUUGCAUAAUCUUGCUUCAUGCUACAACUUAUUUGUUAACAAGCAGGCACAAGUGAACUGAUGAAAGGAAUACAGUAUUGCAUAAUCAUGCUUCAUGCUACAACUUAUGAAAGCGAACUGAUGAAGGAAGAGGGAUCCGGAGGCGUGGGGAUCUGCACUGCUCCAUCAAGCAUCUGUGUCACUUUAAGCAUGGUUGGCCGCAUGGUCGGCUCCUCCUGGAGGCACCAAAGGGCUACAGCCACGAAUCGCUCUGCCUUUUUGAUGUUGAAGUUUGCCUCAUCGUCGCCUUCCACCAGCAAGUCGAUCCUCCCGCACCUGUAACAGUCGUUUGCCCAGUAAGUCAGUAUCGCCUGCUCUUCAUCGGCGAUCUCUAGCUCCACAUUCCUUCUGCAGCAUACAAGCUCCAGCAGGAUCACCCCAAAGCUGUAAACAUCGACUUUGGAAGUGAUCCCUAUGUUCUUGAACCACUCUGGAGCAACGUAACCUCGAGUACCCCGGAUGCCGGUGUUUGUCUGUGUCUGAUUGGCUCGAAGAAGCUUCGCCAGGCCAAAGUCUGCAAUCUUCGCCAUAAAGUUGGCAUCAAGAAGGAUGUUCUGUGGUUUUAUGUCGCAGUGGAUAAUCUGUGUGCUGCACUCCUCGUGCAAGUAGAGCAGCCCUCGUGCCACUCCAAGUGCAACUUGCACACGGAGGUUCCAAUCCGGCCGAGCAUCACCGAAUAGGAAUUCGUUGAGCGAGCCAUUGGUCAUGAACUCAUAAACUAGCAGUCGGUGAGUUCCCUCACUGCACAAACCAAGCAGCCUGACCAAGUUCUUGUGAAACGUCUGCCCGAUGGUUUGCACCUCCACCAUGAACUCCUUCUCAGUCUCUUGCUGGAGUUUUUCAAUUUUCUUGACCGCAAUGCUGGUAGCAUGCUCAUCUUGCAGCUGUCCUUUGUACACGGUACCAGAGGCACCGCUGCCAAGCACCUCACGGAAACCACUAGUUGCCUUCUCCAGAUCAUUGUAAGUGAAAAUCUUUGGGGGCAAGAUAGAACUACCUGACGGUUGCGGUGACUGGAGUUUCUUCUUGGAGGUUAUGGAGAUACCGCAGUAAGUGCCGAAGAGCAGAAUACUGAUCAGGAGAAUGUUUACCAAUACAGAACCCCCAAAAAACAAGGAACUCCCAAGAAUCCAAUACUUCUUGUCCUUCUUCCAUUUGCUAGAGCCAGUGUUCUGGGACUG